GGGUUGCAGAGAGUGGCUCUGUAUAUUUUAAAAUAUGUCUUCCUACACAUAAAACAAGGCUGGUCAGCUUCAUUUAAAAAAAAAUUAAAAAGUUUACCAACAAAAAUUCAUACAUCCACUUGAUUCCAUCCACCCUGGAUAGCCAUCUGGACACUGCAUUGUCAUAAUUUACCCAAAUUUCUGUGACUGUUGUUGAUGACAAAUGGGAUUUAUGUCUCUAGCUAAAGCAAACACUUCAAACAUCUUAAAGUGAAUAUUUUGGGGUUAGAGCAAUUCUUAUGAUUUCAUGUUACAGUGUGAAAUGGCUUCACUUAUGGUUUCCAAAAAAAAAAUCCACAGAUUUGUGGGUUUUGGUGCUUUGAUUUUAAUGUUGAUAUUUUUCCAAAAUGUCAUGGGUAAGACAACUUAAAAAGCUAAAUAAUAUUCCAAAUACUUAGGGGGCCUGAAAGGAAUUGUGAGGAGUUGAGCCUUUUGUUUUAACAAAGUUUCUCUUGAAAAUGUAACUCCAACCAUCAGGUGCAAAGGGAAUCUUGAGCCUUCCUCUCCUCCAGGCCUGGAUCCUUCGCCUCCUCCUCUUUCUCCUAGGGAAGCUUGCCUGGGCAUCUUGCCACUAACCCAGCUCUUGCUGGUAGGUAUGACUGCAACCUGCCUUGGCCCCACGUACUGGAUAACUCCCGGGGUAGGCCCUGGGGUGCUUGAUGAGUGAGUUGCAGAACUGACCUCAGCCCAGGGACCUUUGUCUGCUGGUGACUCUUGUCAUUUGUUGUCCUAGUUCCUAACCCCCUCUGCAGGCCGGAGCUUGGAGGGCUUCAGCUUGUCCAGCUGGUGCCUGUUGACUGUCUCUUCCUGAGGACUCCUACCUGUCGGCCAUCUGCUGUCCAAGCACACUGUUAUCAAAGGACUUGCUGAGAGGGGUCGUGGUGUUUCAAGACUGGCAGUGAACAAAGCUGACAGACUGAUUUCUGUGUAUCAAAAAACUGUAGAAGCAGGAGCCAUCCCUGCUUCAAAACAAGAACAGCAGCAACAACAACAAAGACCCAGAACUACAUAACCACGGGUACAGCACAUCUGAGGACGCCAUCUUAUAGGACUAAAGUAAGAAUAAUAACUCUACAACGAGUCUUGACAAUGCUAUUGAAGUGAAAUGAUUUUUUUAAAGAAACCUCUCCAGUUCUUGGCUGUCAUCUAAAGGAAGCAUUGCAUUUUGAGCAUCCUGACUUUAUGGAGCUCAUAAAACUGUGUCUCUAAAUGCCAAUGUGCUGAAAAGUUAUGAGUGUUAAAAAGUUAUAUGAGUAUUUAGCAGUAUAGAAAAAGGUCUCUCUUUUCUUAUGGUAUCUGAAUGAUAGUAAUAAUAGUAGUGGUAAUAAAUGUCAUCCUCUAGUAGAAUACUUUCUCCCCGAAACCUUUUAGACCUUUUCUCUUCCUAUAAAGUGGAUGAUAUCACUGUCUCCCUGUGGCAGGAACAGGCGUCUGGAACUCGGAGCUUUUCAUGGGUUGGAAUUGGAACACAGGUGUAUUGCUGCUUCUUGUAGAUUUUGCUGCCUGGGUUUUUAUAUGGUUUCUCCCUGUGGUAGCUUAUAACAUAAAGCUGCUACUCCACAAGCAGUUUUAGCCUCAUUACUACUUGGGAGGCACACUUCUGAGUUGAUCUGACCCAGGAUGGAUGCAUCGUUGCAGAAAGCCAGCUUGGCAGGUUUUGCUUUCAGCAUUUUGGCCUCAGUUAGCCAUGCAGGUGGCUUCCCAUCUGAAUGGAACAUAGAUGAUUGUCUGUUUGGAAUCCUACAGCCAUCAAGGUGAUACCGAGAGGUUUGAUCAUCUUUGCUGGAGCACAGCUUGAGCUGGGUGUGGCUGAAGCUUCAGUUUCAGAAAACAAAGUCUAUUGUAGCAAACUUAAGAAAGGAUUUAUUAUGGGGAAUUAAAUGGAUGCUAGAAUCAACAUCUGUACAUUGAUGUCCUGGUCUUGCCUCCUGGUACCCAUGAAGCUGGUACCUGAUGCUGAAACACUGGCCAAUAAAACUGUCAUAAAAGAACCAGAUGCCUCCUGGGCUUUCCUUGCUGAGCAAAUAGCAGCUUGCUGCCCAAGUGUGGUCUCUGCCUUACUUUUGCUUUCUAAAUUUUACAAAAAUGCAUCUGACUGGCCAACCUAAAUCAUAUCUGGACAUUUGGCUGCCAGAGCUUUGAGACAUGGGGUUUUAGCAUUCUAGCCUCUGUAAUGUAUGUGGGCACACAAGAAGGAGGUAGAAUGUAUCUCUUGUGCUCUGUGAUCAGUAGAAAUGGACAUCGAUCUCCAGAGUCAGCUGAAGAGACCAGAACUGAAGUUACAGGCAGAACAUGGAGUAGUUGUGAAUCUUUCUGGCAUGUGUAGGUGACUCAGAAAUAGCAACGAGUUAAAAGUAGUGCAAGGCUACAGGUUUGUCUUCUGACUUCUGCUUAGUUUCUUUGGGACCAAUAAACUGAUGUUGUAACAUCCCACGUGUGUUCUUGGAAACUCAAUCACACUGGAUGUUGUUAGGGGAAAUAAAAUGUUAAAAGGCCAUCUUGAUUGCAGAGGCUCUCCUAUGCUUAGGUUUGUUGCACAUCUCUAGAUGGGAAUAUGGCAUGUAAGGGUUCCCCAAACCUGACCACAGAAAAGCCUCAUGUCCAAAAAAUGCAGAAGUAGUGUUUCCCAACAGAAAUGGGAAAUGCUAUUUUGAAGAGGAAGCAGUGGUUCUGUGGAGAUGAGGUUUGCUUGAUUUCUAGGGAGUUGAACUUUUUCCAUAGCCUCCAUCUAAAAAGUUUACUCCCCAAAUUAUAGAGUUUCCUGGAGGGCAGAUGGCACUCUACCCUUCAGGAAGAACCAAAUGACAGGAGUCCCUGACCUGGGAAGUCAGCCUGGAUGGUCAGGUAGGAUUCUUGUAGGAAUCCAUAUGGUUUGAUAGUUAUCCCUGGGGCCUCCCAGGAGGGAGCCUGUGAUCACUAUUAGAAAUGAUAGCAAUAAUGAAGUGUUAAUCAGUUGUAGACCAUGUCUCCUUUGUGUUGCUCUGUUAUAGAAGCAGAUGGUGUUGCUGACAAGGAACUGCCUUUAGUUCCAGGAAAAUGAGGGCACCAAGUGGGCAGGAUCACUGAUGUGUUCUGGAGGAGGGAUCUUCAGGGUGUAAAUGUCCCUGACUGCUGCAACUGAGCAGGGCAUAAAAUACACAGACGCCAGGUGAAGGCAGACCCUACCUUAUAAGGAUGUACAGCUGUGACAGCAAAGCCGGAGUGACAAUGAGUAUUGGACCCUGAGUCAAGGUAAUUGGUGAGCAUCCUCCAAAUAUCAGAUGAUGCAGAAGAGGGAAAC
This 3319-nucleotide long non-coding RNA is filed under the name Marmota monax (woodchuck). The record is from RNAcentral. Lineage: Eukaryota; Metazoa; Chordata; Mammalia; Rodentia; Sciuridae.